AGGUUCACUGAAAAAGGUGCCAUCAAGUCGAUUGUUGAUCAUGAUAACUGAAGGUGUCAGGAGUCAAUCGGUUUCUUUAUUCGGCGAAAAAAUACGAAAAGACCCAAACCAUGUUCCUAACGAGAUCAUCAUCAUCAUUGUAACAUUUCGAUUCUUGUCUCGGAUGUCACGUGUUCCAGCCCAUUCGGUCGCCCGUUUCCAGCCGACAUGACCUUGGCAUCUCAUCUGCCACGUCGUUCAGCCGAUACUUCUGAAUUUGCAUCUGAAUCGGGGUGUGGCAAACGACGAAGGAUAGAUCGCAGUGUACUUUCUGUUGCCUGUACUUUCAUGCUAAUUUCCGAAACCAUCCCGAUCUAACCUCUUGCAAAAAAGACAUUGUGUUCGACGAACCAAAGAAAAUCAGCCUAAAUUCAUUCACACAUUUCCGAGUUUUUUCAACGAUUUUUCAAGGAAACUUUAAAUAGCUAAAACGUUGCGUUGGGGAGGAGUUACUUGGAUUUGUUAAGCAGUUUUAUUAUAUGUUUGCAAACACUUAAUAUAAGAUAGUAGGCUUUGAAGCAUUUACCCAUGUUUUUUAACAUUAAAAAUAAUGUCCCUCUAUUUAGCCCACCAUGAGGAAUACUUAAAUCUUUCAUUUUGACUUAUUCCAGUUCUAGUUUUAAUCUAAAAUGUGGUAAAAAUGUUAUAAAAAUUCCACGGAAGUUCACUUACGCCUUUGCCUGCCACCUCUUAGGUAAGCGUGUAGGCACAAGUUGAGACCGUCUUAAGGGUAGGUAGGUAACAGAAUAUUCAAUGCCUCUCAAAAGAAUGUUCUCCCUGCAAUUGCAAUGUUUCCAUUUGGAACUUACUUACAUCAAGAGAAGUGGUAUUUAAUGAUACUGUUCAGACAGUAUUCGAAAUUUAUUGAAUCAAUUAAAUUGCUAUCUUAUCAUUAAGUUUCAAUUUGUUUAUUUCAUUAUCCGAUCACUUUGUUCCUACGAUUUCCCGAAGAUCAUCUGUCCCGCUUAUCAAGCAACUCUCAUUUUUCUUGCUGCAACUAACUUUUAUCAGUGUAACAGUUCUAGUUUCUUUUUGCUUUCUGUAAAAAAAAGAGAGGGACGCUUUACCUCUAAAAGUCAAUCAGUUAAACAAAUUACCGUAUUACCGUUCGAAACUUAUUGCCAAUUAAUUGCCACAAACACGUUUCGCAAAGCGCGGGUCCACCACCAACUACAAAGUGUCUUCGUGAUACUCGCGAGAGUUUCUAUUCUGGAAACAAUCUAAAAAAUACCUAAUAUUGAUGACGUUUUUUGACUCGGAACUUGAAACAAAGAAGUAAUGAAGAUACCGAAAAGUGUUGAGAUGCGCAGAGACAGGUGUCGAGGUCAUUUUGAAAUGGGCGGAGUUCAAAGUGAGGUUAGAAAAGUAAUGGUCAUUUUAAGGUGGCCACUGGUUGAUAAAAUACACGACAGGAGACCUCAAUUCGUAAUUUAUUGCUGGUUUGUUCUCUACAAAUACUACACUCUUUUUUUAAUUAUUUAUAGUCAGGGUAUUUAGCUUCUAGGAUUUGCAAGAUUUGCUAUAAAUUUCAUAUUCUAUGGUAGAGAAAAAUUCAUACAUUUGGUGUCGACUUGCACAACUUUCCUCAAAAAUAUAUACUUGGUACAGAAGUUUUUAAUAUAACCCAAGAUUGAUUGAACUUUUGCCAACAUUACCAAAGCUUCUCAUUUUGUCGAGCAAGUAUAUGCAACUGAAAGUAUUAAACUAGAGCGCCUCUAAGCGUAUUCAAUAUCUUUACUAUCAAAUUUUUUUCAGUUGAAACCUUUCCUGGUUAUGAAUUUCAAAUGUUAGGCAUGAAUUUUUAAUAAUUAAGACUUGGCGCUCACAGUAAAAGUUUACGAGUAAAUUUGUUAACAGCAGCAAAACAUUUUAAUAGGUGCAAGAAUCAUAAUGAUAUAGAUUCAUUCUAUUGUUUUUUCUUCAAAAUUAUCAGAAAGUUGAAAAGGUAAAAAUCUCUACUGGUUAAUGUAUUAAUUCCUUCCUAUUAUCACAUUUUCUCUUCGGUAUACCGAUAAAUCCUCUUUCAACACCACUACCAUAAUUUUUGCGUUUAAUACCCAUAGUAAUAAGUGUUCUUGACACUUUGCCACUUUUACAUGGCAGAAAAAAAGGAAUAUGACCUUACCUCAGUCAACUGUCUUUUCCUCCUCCGUUUUUUCUUCGUCCAUUCAAGAUAACUUCUUCUCUUUAUUUUACACAAAAGCCAGACGCAAGAAUCGAAAUGUGCGGCGGCCGCUUUUCCCAAUUUGCUGUCAACAGUUUUUCGGGUUUCAAAUGGCAGAAAUCGAGAAUCGCAAAUUAAGAAUCAAAACCAAUUCCAUAUUGAAUUACGAGAGAACUGUGUAGAAAAGUAUGCAGAACGGAAGCUUCGAACAUAUGACGUGGCAGAGGGAAAAUGGUUUCCCAGGUAUAUCAGGUGACCAAGUGAUCGUUAAAAGAAUCAGCACUUCCCCCAUCCAGAUAAUUAUGCCACAACUUUCCCUUUGAUCCGACGACAAUGUUUGUAUGACAAUUCUAGAUUUAUCAGAAAACUUUGUGUAGUCUUGUUGUUAUUAGAUGUAAAUCCUCACAGGAUAGCUUCUUGGUUGUAGGUUUUCAUAAAAUAAAGUGGAGAAAUAAAAUAUUGAACACUUUUUUAUUUUGUUUCCCAAAAAUACUAACUUCAAACGUUAGCAAAACUAGCAAGACUUGGUUUAGCCCAAGUUUGAUCCAACGUGUGUCAAUCGUUUUUGAAAUUUUUUUUUGCUACUAUAACAAGUAUGAGUUAGACCAAAGUCGUGUUUAACUUGGGCGCAGUCUAAAGCAAUACUUGCUUUAAUUUUUCUUAAGCUUCACCAAUUUUUGAUCCAAGUCAUCAUUUUGGAGCCCAAUAAGCUUUCACAUUUUUUCUGCUUCAAUAUUUUCCAAAUAUAGUUUUACAAAAUUUUAACUGAAUGUUUUAUAAAAUAAUUGUAAUUUGUUGACCGAUCAAUUUCCAGUCAUGGUAUUGAAGAACUCUUAAAAUGAAAUUUAAGCUGAAACCAAUCGCAUAUGUUUUCUCUUCUCCUAUUCUUGUCAGACUUUCAAGUACUUUUCCUUUUCUCACUUUUCCCGUCUUAUUUUACUUUCGAAAAUACACUUUUUGUCAUUUUCGCUACUGAUCUGUCUCUCUUAUUUGCCUGUUCAUAUCAAAUAAACCAUAGUUU
This is a long non-coding RNA of Caenorhabditis elegans, 3224 nucleotides long. Ensembl annotates it as ncRNA. Its record names the gene linc-125. The record is from Ensembl. Lineage: Eukaryota; Metazoa; Nematoda; Chromadorea; Rhabditida; Rhabditidae.